Molecule: ribosomal RNA, 253 nt
Filed under: uncultured bacterium
Lineage: Bacteria
Description: partial 16S ribosomal RNA
Rfam family: Bacterial small subunit ribosomal RNA
Source: RNAcentral
UACGUAGGGUGCAAGCGUUGUCCGGAAUUAUUGGGCGUAAAGAGCUCGUAGGCGGUCUGUCGCGUCGGAUGUGAAAAUCCAGGGCUCAACCCUGGACCUGCAUUCGAUACGGGCAGACUAGAGUUCGGUAGGGGAGACUGGAAUUCCUGGUGUAGCGGUGAAAUGCGUAGAUAUCUGGAGGAAUACCGGUGGCGAAGGCGGCAUCCUGGGCUAAUACUGACACUGAGGUGCGAAAGCGUGGGGAGCAAACAGG